RNAcentral lists this ribosomal RNA (258 nucleotides) under uncultured bacterium. RNAcentral's name for it is "partial 16S ribosomal RNA". It matches the Rfam family "Bacterial small subunit ribosomal RNA", at positions 524 to 776 of the family's 1533-position model. The record is from RNAcentral.
UACGUAGGGUGCAAGCGUUGUCCGGAAUUAUUGGGCGUAAAGAGCUCGUAGGCGGUGUGUCGCGUCGGCCGUGAAAACCUGCAGCUUAACUGUGGGCUUGCGGUCGAUACGGGCAUCACUGGAGUUCGGCAGGGGGAGACUGGAAUUCCUGGUGUAGCGGUGAAAUGCGCAGAUAUCAGGAGGAACACCGGUGGCGAAGGCGGGUCUCUGGGGCCGAUACUGACGCUGAGGAGCGAAAAGCGUGGGGGAGCGAACAGG